AGCUGCACAGAAGUUCCUAAGAUAGUAGUGCUACAGCAAUAUAUGUAGUAUUUUACAUAGUUAGAAUUUAAUCAAAUAUUAUUAUAAUACUAAAAUGAAGCAUCAUUAAGUUAAUUUGAUAAGAUAAAAAAUGUUAUUCGAAUGGCGUCACAUCUUCGUAAAAAUACAAUCUAAUUAAAUAUAACAGUUUAAAUUUCAUAUUUAAAUAUAUUCAAAUUUUAUACUUGUUAAUUAAUUAAUAAUUUUAUACU
Long non-coding RNA from Frieseomelitta varia, 251 nucleotides. RefSeq lists it as uncharacterized. The record is from RefSeq and is a predicted model, not a curated record. The transcript is spliced from 3 exons. NCBI's taxonomy places the organism in Eukaryota, Metazoa, Arthropoda, Insecta, Hymenoptera, Apidae.